GCGCCGGUGGCGGAACUGGCAGACGCGCCGGCUUUAGGUGCCGGUGUCUCACGACGUGUGGGCUCGAGUCCCACCCGGCGCACCA
RNAcentral lists this transfer RNA (85 nucleotides) under Actinomycetota bacterium. RNAcentral describes it as "tRNA-Leu". It matches the Rfam family "tRNA". Rfam says of the family: Transfer RNA (tRNA) molecules are approximately 80 nucleotides in length. The record is from RNAcentral. Lineage: Bacteria; Bacillati; Actinomycetota.